RNAcentral lists this unclassified non-coding RNA (291 nucleotides) under plant metagenome. RNAcentral describes it as "partial contains small subunit ribosomal RNA, internal transcribed spacer 1, and 5.8S ribosomal RNA". The stretch from base 1 to 54 matches the Rfam family "Eukaryotic small subunit ribosomal RNA", at positions 1778 to 1831 of the family's 1831-position model. The record is from RNAcentral.
GGAAGUAAGAGUCGUAACAAGGUUUCCGUAGGUGAACCUGCGGAAGGAUCAUUAAUGAGUUGUCAUGGGGUUCGAUGCUGGCAGCCAAUUUUUGGAUGCAUGUGCUUGCCCUAACAAUCAUCUUCCAAACACCUGUGCACAUUUUUGAGGGAGUCUUGAGUUGGUUGCCGCUCUUGGGUGAUUUUCUCACAUUCCCUUAAAUCAUUAUACGCUAUUAACAAUGUUGAACGUGCUCUGUGCCGCAAGGCUAUUAAUAUAAUACAACUUUUAACAACGGAUCUCUUGGCUCUC